GUGAUAGCCCCGUACACUAAAAUGCACAGGUCGUGAGUUCGAUGAGUAGGGCGGGACACGUGACAUCCUGUCUGAAUAUGGGGGGACCAUCCUCCAAGGCUAAAUACUCCUGACUGACCGAUAGUGAACCAGUACCGUGAGGGAAAGGCGAAAAGAACCCCGGCGAGGGGAGUGAAAUAGAACCUGAAACCGUGUACGUACAAGCAGUGGGAGCACCUUCGUGGUGUGACUGCGUACCUUUUGUAUAAUGGGUCAGCGACUUAUAUUUUGUAGCAAGGUUAACCGUAUAGGGGAGCCGUAGGGAAACCGAGUCUUAACUGGGCGAAUAGUUGCAAGGUAUAGACCCGAAACCCGGUGAUCUAGCCAUGGGCAGGUUGAAGGUUGGGUAACACUAACUGGAGGACCGAACCGACUAAUGUUGAAAAAUUAGCGGAUGACUUGUGGCUGGGGGUGAAAGGCCAAUCAAACCGGGAGAUAGCUGGUUCUCCCCGAAAGCUAUUUAGGUAGCGCCUCGUGAACUCAUCUUCGGGGGUAGAGCACUGUUUCGGCUAGGGGGCCAUCCCGGCUUACCAAACCGAUGCAAACUCCGAAUACCGAAGAAUGUUAUCACGGGAGACACACGGCGGGUGCUAACGUCCGUCGUGAAGAGGGAAACAACCCAGACCGCCAGCUAAGGUCCCAAAGUCAUGGUUAAGUGGGAAACGAUGUGGGAAGGCAUAGACAGCCAGGAUGUUGGCUUAGAAGCAGCCAUCAUUUAAAGAAAGCGUAAUAGCUCACUGGUCGAGUCGGCCUGCGCGGAAGAUGUAACGGGGCUAAACCAUGCACCGAAGCUGCGGCAGCGACGCUUAGGCGUUGUUGGGUAGGGGAGCGUUCUGUAAGCCGUUGAAGGUGGCCUGUGAGGGUUGCUGGAGGUAUCAGAAGUGCGAAUGCUGACAUAAGUAACGAUAAAGCGGGUGAAAAGCCCGCUCGCCGGAAGACCAAGGGUUCCUGUCCAACGUUAAUCGGGGCAGGGUGAGUCGACCCCUAAGGCGAGGCUGAAAAGCGUAGUCGAUGGGAAACAGGUUAAUAUUCCUGUACUUGGUGUUACUGCGAAGGGGGGACGGAGAAGGCUAGGCUAGCCGGGCGACGGUUGUCCCGGUUUAAGCGUGUAGGGGGUGUGACCUGGUAAAUCCGGUUGCAUAUCAACCCUGAGGCGUGAUGACGAUGCACUACGGUGCAGAAGUAGUUGAUGCCCUGCUUCCAGGAAAAGCCUCUAAGCUCUAGGUAACAUUAAAUCGUACCCCAAACCGACACAGGUGGUCAGGUAGAGAAUACCAAGGCGCUUGAGAGAACUCGGGUGAAGGAACUAGGCAAAAUGGUGCCGUAACUUCGGGAGAAGGCACGCUGGCAUGUAGGUGAAGUCCCUUGCGGAUGGAGCUGAAGCCAGUCGAAGAUACCAGCUGGCUGCAACUGUUUAAUAAAAACACAGCACUGUGCAAACACGAAAGUGGACGUAUACGGUGUGACGCCUGCCCGGUGCUGGAAGGUUAAUUGAUGGGGUCAGCCGCAAGGCGAAGCUCUUGAUCGAAGCCCCAGUAAACGGCGGCCGUAACUAUAACGGUCCUAAGGUAGCGAAAUUCCUUGUCGGGUAAGUUCCGACCUGCACGAAUGGCGUAAUGAUGGCCAGGCUGUCUCCACCCGAGACUCAGUGAAAUUGAACUCGCUGUGAAGAUGCAGUGUACCCGCGGCAAGACGGAAAGACCCCGUGAACCUUUACUAUAGCUUGACACUGAACAUUGAGCCUUGAUGUGUAGGAUAGGUGGGAGGCUUUGAAGCGUGGACGCCAGUCUGCGUGGAGCCAUCCUUGAAAUACCACCCUUUAAUGUUUGAUGUUCUAACUCGGCCCCAUAAUCUGGGGUGAGGACAGUGUCUGGUGGGUAGUUUGACUGGGGCGGUCUCCUCCCAAAGAGUAACGGAGGAGCACGAAGGUUAGCUAAUCACGGUCGGACAUCGUGAGGUUAGUGCAAAGGCAUAAGCUAGCUUGACUGCGAGAGUGACGGCUCGAGCAGGUACGAAAGUAGGUCUUAGUGAUCCGGUGGUUCUGAAUGGAAGGGCCAUCGCUCAACGGAUAAAAGGUACUCCGGGGAUAACAGGCUGAUACCGCCCAAGAGUUCAUAUCGACGGCGGUGUUUGGCACCUCGAUGUCGGCUCAUCACAUCCUGGGGCUGAAGUAGGUCCCAAGGGUAUGGCUGUUCGCCAUUUAAAGUGGUACGCGAGCUGGGUUUAGAACGUCGUGAGACAGUUCGGUCCCUAUCUGCCGUGGGCGUUGGAAGAUUGAGAGGGGUUGCUCCUAGUACGAGAGGACCGGAGUGAACGCACCACUGGUGUUCGGGUUGUCAUGCCAAUGGCAUUGCCCGGUAGCUAAGUGCGGAAAAGAUAAGCGCUGAAAGCAUCUAAGCGCGAAACUUGCCU
RNAcentral lists this ribosomal RNA (2451 nucleotides) under Serratia marcescens. RNAcentral describes it as "partial 23S ribosomal RNA". It matches the Rfam family "Bacterial large subunit ribosomal RNA", at positions 364 to 2799 of the family's 2925-position model. Lineage: Bacteria; Pseudomonadati; Pseudomonadota; Gammaproteobacteria; Enterobacterales; Yersiniaceae. The record is from RNAcentral.